AUUGAACGCUGGCGGAAUGCUUUACACAUGCAAGCCGAGCGGCAGCGCGGGGCAACCUGGCGGCGAGCGGCGAACGGGUGAGUAAUGCAUCGGAACGUACCCCGUCGUGGGGAAUAACUACCCGAAAGGGUAGCUAAUACCGCAUACGACCUGAGGGUGAAAGCGGGGGGACCGAAAGGCCUCGCGCGAUGGGAGCGGCCGAUGCCGGAUUAGCUAGUUGGUAGGGUAAAGGCCUACCAAGGGCGACGAUCCGUAGCGUGGUCUGAGAGGACGACCAGCCACACUGGAACUGAGACACGGUCCAGACUCCUACGGGAGGCAGCAGUGGGGAAUUUUGGACAAUGGGCGAAAGCCUGAUCCAGCCAUUCCGCGUGAGUGAAGAAGGCCU
Molecule: ribosomal RNA, 388 nt
Filed under: uncultured bacterium
Lineage: Bacteria
Description: bacterial SSU rRNA
Rfam family: Bacterial small subunit ribosomal RNA
Source: RNAcentral